CCCUAACCCUGCAGCUGGGAGAGGAGCCCCAGCCCCCAUACUUCCAGGUGUUCCCAUUCACUAAUCAGGACAGGAUAAGGAAAACUCACCAUGGAGCUUGUGCUUGGCUGGGUUUUCCUUGUUGCUCUUUUAAAAGGUGUCCAGUGUGAGGUGCAGCUGGUGGAAUCUGGGGGAGACCUGGUGAAACCUGGGGGGUCCCUGAGACUUUCCUGUGCAGCCUCUGGAUUCACCUUCAGUAGCUACUGGAUGAGUUGGGUCCGCCAGGCUCCAGGGAAGGGGCUGCAGUGGGUCACAAGUAUUAGCAAUACUGGUAGUAACACAUACUAUGCAGACUCUGUGAAGGGCCGAUUCACCAUCUCCAGAGACAACGGCAAGAACACGCUGUAUCUGCAGAUGAACAGCCUGAGAGCUGAGGACAUGGCUGUGUAUUAUUGUGCAAUGGACACAGUGAGAGGACAUCAGUGUGAGCCCAGACACAAACCUCUCUGUAGGAGGGGAUCUGGACCUCCAGGGGAGCACACCACUCACCAGUUCUGUCUUUAG
Mustela lutreola (European mink) is the source of this 543-nucleotide non-coding RNA. The record is from the annotation of a RefSeq genome assembly. NCBI's taxonomy places the organism in Eukaryota, Metazoa, Chordata, Mammalia, Carnivora, Mustelidae.